RNAcentral lists this unclassified non-coding RNA (336 nucleotides) under soil metagenome. RNAcentral describes it as "partial contains 5.8S ribosomal RNA, internal transcribed spacer 2, and large subunit ribosomal RNA". The stretch from base 1 to 120 matches the Rfam family "5.8S ribosomal RNA", at positions 35 to 154 of the family's 154-position model. The record is from RNAcentral.
GAUGAAGAACGUAGCGAAAUGCGAUAAGUAGUGUGAAUUGCAGAAUUCAGUGAAUCAUCGAAUCUUUGAACGCACAUUGCGCCCCAUGGUAUUCCGUGGGGCAUGCCUGUUCGAGCGUCAUUUGUACCUUCAAGCUUUGCUUGGUGUUGGGUGUUUGUCUCGCCUUUGCGUGUAGACUCGCCUUAAAAUAAUUGGCAGCCGGCGUAUUGAUUUCGGAGCGCAGUACAUCUCGCGCUUUGCACUCAUAACGACAGCGUCCAAAAGUACAUUUUACACUCUUGACCUCGGAUCAGGUAGGGAUACCCGCUGAACUUAAGCAUAUCAAUAAGCGGAGGA